This 73-nucleotide transfer RNA is filed under the name Camelus bactrianus (Bactrian camel). It matches the Rfam family "tRNA". From Rfam's summary of the family: Transfer RNA (tRNA) molecules are approximately 80 nucleotides in length. Lineage: Eukaryota; Metazoa; Chordata; Mammalia; Artiodactyla; Camelidae. The record is from Rfam by way of RNAcentral. RNAcentral also lists the same sequence under 2 other names.
GAGGGUAUAGCUCAAGUGGUAGAGCACGUGCUUAGCAUUCACGAGGUCCUGGGUUCAAUCCCUAGUACCUCCU